Papaver somniferum (opium poppy) is the source of this 2913-nucleotide RNA transcript. RefSeq lists it as uncharacterized. NCBI's taxonomy places the organism in Eukaryota, Viridiplantae, Streptophyta, Magnoliopsida, Ranunculales, Papaveraceae. The record is from RefSeq and is a predicted model, not a curated record. The transcript has 3 exons.
AACAGAACUUUGUUCUUAGGCUGUGUUCAUUUGAACCAGAGAAGCUCGAUUCUUCGGAAUUGGGUGAGGUUACUUUAUCCUCAAUCUAUCUAUCCCCUCCUGUUAUGUACAUCUAGGUACAUAAAAAUUGGUAUCAGAUUCGUUCGAUCCAUGGAGGUAUUCACUGGAACUCAUCAACAGAUCUCUGCAAUUCAGAGUUUACCAAGUGAAAAAUGGGUACAAAUGAAUGGAAAAUUGGUACCAAUAUUGAAACUGGAAAGUUUAGCAAGUGAUGAAUUCGACACUUGCGUUUCUGGUAUCUGUUUUAUUUGAUGGACAAAAACUGUGUAAAUAGAGAGGACGGCCUCCGAAGGUGGGGCAAAUUGUUAGACAGAGUGGAGAAGAAAUUGGAUAAGAUCUUGUUUCUUAAGGAUACUGCUUUAUCUCAGCAACCUCCUCACCGAGUGAAAGUUGCUUCUACACAUAGUGAUGAAUCUUCAGAUUUGGAGUUGAUACCUCAAAAUUUCUUUGCUGAAAACGAAGAUGUUGAGUCACUUGAUGAUGUGAGAUUCUAGUCUGAAGCAGUUGCUAAAACUGAGAUGAUAGACUUCUCCGAGUUGAAUUGAACCAAAAUUGGUGAGGUGAACGAUUCUGCUCUAGAAUUUUACUUCAACAAGUUUGGGGAGAAAUUCGAAAAUCAUGAAUGCUUCAAGGAGUUAUUGUCUAUUCUCUACAGCAAAUCAAAUUAUGUGGCUCGUUCUUCUUUUCCACUUAAUGACACUCGUUCAUUAUUCGACAGAGAGAUCGACAUCAUUGUAUGGGUUUCUUGUUUUGCUACAAUUGAUACUCGCUCCUUACUUGAUCGAGGUAAGUGUACUGUGUCACCAUCACUUACUUAUGAGACAUGUCUUCUUCAAUUGCUUAUUAGCCUACGACAUGACUCAGAAUUGCAGUUUAUACAUUCGUUUCCUCAUUUAAGUGUUUAUGAUUUUGCAAUACAUGCUGCGAAGAAAAUGUUUGCUCAAAUAACUGAAAGAGAUUAUUCUUACUGGCUAGAGUAAUUACUUUUGAGCUGGAUAAUCAAUUGAUGUUUCAUAUGGUUGAUAUGUGGAGAGCAGUAAAUUUUAUUUUUCUAAUGCUCCACAAGAUUCCGUUCACUUCAACCAUCUUCUCUCCUAGUUUCAUCCAAGAGCAUUGUCGUAAUCGUGGAAAAGGAUUCGAACUAAUUCAGAGACUUUCUUAUUCUGUGGUUGCCUAUGAAUUCAGUUUUGGUCUAUCUAAUUCUUGCUCAAUUGUACCUGCUUGUAUGAUUUAUACUGGUGGUGGAAAUGAUUUUAUCUUACUACUUACAACAGCGCAAAUAAGUUACAAGUUCAUAGUGAAUGAAUGUCUCUUCCUUAUCAUCAAAUUUACUCGCUGGAUAUAUGAUAGAGGAAAGUUGUUAGCUAAUCAAGGGUAUUUUACUUAUUUGGUAAAAUAAGUAAAAUACAGUUGGUAGUAUUUAGCUAAUUAGUGUAAGUUACAGUUGGUAGUAUUUAGCUAAUUAGUGUAAGUUACAGUUGGUAGUAUUUAGCUAAUUAGUGUUUGUGACGUCCUUGCCGUGGGGAUUAAUUUUGUUUCUUAUGGCCUUCUGGGAUGCAGGGAAUGUCAGAAGAUUGUGUCGGCAUUCUCCUUUUGCGAGGCCUCAUAUGGUGUUUAUUGGAGUUUACUUCUCUCUUUCCAGGCUUGUGAACUCAUAUUGUACCUCAGCUGGCAAUGCUUAUUUACAACUACUUAAAGUUGAAGGUGGCCAGGUAUUUCUGCACUCUGUCAUAAGGACUGGCCCUUGCUACUUACACUAUAAUCAACCUGAAUCUUAUGGCUAUAUUCACCUGUGGAGUCUGAAUAGUGUUGUCUGUGGAAGCUGAGAAUAGUAUUGGUAGUCGUAAGCUGUAUGAGAGACAUAUUCUUGUGCUUCAGAUUCUUUCGAAACAACGUGAAAUCCUCUUGGCGGUCCUUCCAGCUUCUAUCUCCAAUGUGAGCAGUCAUUUUUAGCUCCACACUACAGGGGCCAACUUUUAAUUCGCCUCACUGAGGGUAUUUCCUUUGAGAUGGAAGCUUGCAGCAGAUAAUGAUGCUCAUCCCAAUGAUAUACUGGAGCGAAGUCCUGGUCAGGUUACACUAUGGCUUACAGUCAAGGAUUGUAUUGGUAGUCAAUUUCUGAGAGCUAGAAUAAUGAAGGGGCAGCUAGCCUUUCUCCUCAUAUCCGAGGCCAGGUUUGAUUUUGCUACUGGCAGUAUUUAUAGCAUGGAAAUAGUUAUAUCUUUGGGGAUGAUACUGGUCGCACGGGAGCUUCGGCAACUUACACAAAAGGGUAGCAAGCACUGUACAGGUCAAAGGAGUAGUACGAUGUGGAAAGUACUUGGAGAAUUAUAUUUUUACUUUAGCUGGCAAGGAAGCAUCACCUCUUAUUCAAGACUUUUACACAAAGAAUUGUCAGUUACCAAGGGUGUCUCAUUGUACUAUCACAGCAGUUUUGACUCUUGCAUAUGGUUCAACAACAGCUGAAGGAGAUAGUGGGCACUACCACCACAGCUUCACGUUUUCACAACUGCACCGCCAGGCUCCAAAACAACCUUGCGUAACUGAAGUUGCCGACUCGCCGCUCAUCCUUGAGGACAAGGAUGUUUUGAAGGGGAAGGGAAUGUCAUGUACCUACUAUAUGUGAGAGAGUGCCCAUAUCCUGUUGAGUGUCGGUAUUUAGUGUAAGUUACAGUUGGUAGUAUUUAGCUAAUUAGUGUUUGCUAUUAUCAGUUGUAGGGGGUGCCUUGGAUGCAACCACCUGGACUAUUUUUAUUCGUUGGAUGUUAGGAUAGAAUACGUAAAUAUAUAAGCUCAGAGUCUGUAAGAGAAAGGUAAUCCAAAAUUAUUAAUCAAAACAUAACUUUGUUCUUA